AAUCUUCCGCAAUGGGCGAAAGCCUGACGGAGCAAUACCGCGUGAGGGACGAAGGCCUGUGGGUUGUAAACCUCUUUUGUUAGGGAAGAUAAUGACGGUACCUAACGAAUAAGCAUCGGCUAACUCCGUGCCAGCAGCCGCGGUAAGACGGAGGAUGCAAGCGUUAUCCGGAAUUAUUGGGCGUAAAGCGUACGUAGGCUGUUUCAUAAGUCUGCUGUCAAAGCCCGAGGCUCAACCUUGGAUCGGCAAUGGAAACUGUGAGACUAGAGAGAGAUAGGGGCAGGAGGAAUUCCAGGUGUAGCGGUGAAAUGCGUAGAUAUCUGGAAGAACACCAGUGGCGAAAGCGUCCUGCUGGAUCUCAACUGACGCUGAAGUACGAAAGCUAGGGGAGCGAAUGGGAUUAGAUACCCCAGUAGUC
RNAcentral lists this ribosomal RNA (418 nucleotides) under uncultured Lake Michigan cyanobacterium LMC25-4. RNAcentral's name for it is "bacterial SSU rRNA". It matches the Rfam family "Bacterial small subunit ribosomal RNA", at positions 360 to 795 of the family's 1533-position model. The record is from RNAcentral. Lineage: Bacteria; Bacillati; Cyanobacteriota.